RNAcentral lists this ribosomal RNA (460 nucleotides) under uncultured bacterium. RNAcentral's name for it is "partial 16S ribosomal RNA". It matches the Rfam family "Bacterial small subunit ribosomal RNA", at positions 338 to 795 of the family's 1533-position model. The record is from RNAcentral.
CCUACGGGGGACAGCAGUGAGGAAUAUUGGUCAAUGGACGAGAGUCUGAACCAGCCAAGUAGCGUGAAGGAUGACUGCCCUAUGGGUUGUAAACUUCUUUUAUAUGGGAAUAAAAUGUUCCACGUGUGGGAUUUUGUAUGUACCAUAUGAAUAAGGAUCGGCUAACUCCGUGCCAGCAGCCGCGGUAAUACGGAGGAUCCGAGCGUUAUCCGGAUUUAUUGGGUUUAAAGGGAGCGUAGGUGGAUUGUUAAGUCAGUUGUGAAAGUUUGCGGCUCAACCGUAAAAGUGCAGUUGAAACUGGCAGUCUUGAGUACAGUAGAGGUGAGCGGAAGUCGUGGUGUAGCGGUGAAAUGCUUAGAUAUCACGAAGAACUCCGAUUGCGAAGGCAGUUCACUGGACUGCAACUGACACUGAGGCUCGAAAGUGUGGGUAUCAAACAGGAUUAGAUACCCGUGUAGUC